GCCUCUUUAGCUCAGUGGUAGAGCGUUGCACUUGUAGGCGCCGUUGGUGGUAGCUUUGCAAUGCAAAGGUCAUUCGUUCAAUCCGGGUAGGAGGCA
Molecule: non-coding RNA, 96 nt
Organism: Tephrocybe sp. NHM501043
Lineage: Eukaryota; Fungi; Basidiomycota; Agaricomycetes; Agaricales; Lyophyllaceae
Source: the annotation of a GenBank genome assembly